AUUCGAAGCCGAGGAUAAUAAGGAGAAGACGCCAGAGCCAGCAUCCCUCCGAUACCUCGUCCAUUGUGUCGCAGUGACGUAGCACGGUUCUCAAACCCACUGCGCUGCUUUCUUCACCCCGGCCCAGAGACGGCCAGUGACGGUACCAUGGCUUAGGCUGUAAUGAUUAGGACAGUGAGAGUACGCCGUUGUGCGCCACACGCCCCCUGACGCAUGCACGCCCUCUCUACUACAGAGUGACGUGCAGGCCUCCCCAUGUACGCCUCCUCUGCUUGGGUCGCGCUGGUCCGGAAAUUCCGUAGACCCACGUAAUCUCUACCUGGAAGGGACGUGUCACCCCCACCUGGUGAACACUGGCAGGUAAGAUCUCUCCCUUGACCCACUGGACCUGAAGGCAGAGAGUACCAGCACAAAUUACUAAGCAUCCUAAAGUAAAGUAUGAGUGGAGACUCCCAGCCAGUAGAGACUACUGAACGCCUUGAGGUGCGGUCACACCAGUACAUUUCCCGUCAAUUUUUUCGUCAACUCCUGCUUCCGCCAACUGUCGUCUUUUUUCUUCUGCAUCGUCACACGGCAGUGGUCGUCUUCGCGGAGGAGGGCUAUCGUCAAAUGGAAAAUCCAUUAUACCCGCCACGCCUGUAACACAAGACUGUAUCAGAGGAACAAAAGAAUAACGAAACCACGGCAAAGUAGCGGUGAACGAACGCAAUAAAAGGACGACAUGUUAGGGAACCAUCAUCAUGAUCAAGGAAGCGGAAGGGAAAUCCUAAGCCAAGCAGGAAGGACUCAUGCUUAGGCCUACACCGAGGCGCUGAGGGAGGCCGGGCGUGUCUCCUGGCGGCGGGGGAACAAGGCUCCUUUUUCCCAUAUUCAUGUGUUUACCUAAUGGUUGACACGGCCUGGCUACGCAUUCCGCUGCUGUGUUGGAAGAGUGCUGGCGCUGUAUUCUCGGCGUGCUCCUGGCAGAUGACUGAAAGUGGCGGAGCGACGGAGACUGGGAAGCCCUCCUCCAUAUCUAUAUUCUGAGCUGAAAUAAAGCGUUUAGUGCUCACCUUUCCUCAGCCGUCCUGUCAUCAAGGGAGAUGUUAGUCAGGUGUGUUGUUGUUGUU
Scylla paramamosain (green mud crab) is the source of this 1109-nucleotide long non-coding RNA. RefSeq lists it as uncharacterized. The record is from RefSeq and is a predicted model, not a curated record. NCBI's taxonomy places the organism in Eukaryota, Metazoa, Arthropoda, Malacostraca, Decapoda, Portunidae. The transcript is spliced from 6 exons.